Molecule: ribosomal RNA, 492 nt
Filed under: uncultured bacterium
Lineage: Bacteria
Description: partial 16S ribosomal RNA
Rfam family: Bacterial small subunit ribosomal RNA
Source: RNAcentral
AGUGAACGCUGGCGGUAGGCCUAACACAUGCAAGUCGAACGGCAGCACAGUAAGAGCUUGCUCUUACGGGUAGCGAGUGGCGGACGGGUGAGGAAUACAUCGGAAUCUACUUUUUCGUGGGGGAUAACGUAGGGAAACUUACGCUAAUACCGCAUACGACCUACGGGUGAAAGCAGGGGAUCUUCGGACCUUGCGCGAUUGAAUGAGCCGAUGUCGGAUUAGCUAGUUGGCGGGGUAAAGGCCCACCAAGGCGACGAUCCGUAGCUGGUCUGAGAGGAUGAUCAGCCACACUGGAUCUGAGACAGGGCCGAGACUCCGACGGGAGGCAGCAGUGGGGAAUAUUGGGCAAGGGGGGCAAGCCUGAUCCAGCAAGACCGCGGAGGUGAAGAAGGCCUUCGGGUUGGAAAGCCAUUUUGUUGGGAAAGAAAAGCAGCAGGUUAAUACCCCGCGGUUCUGACGGUACCCAAAGAAUAAGCACCGGCUAACUUCGUG